GCGCCCGUAGCUCAGCUGGAUAGAGCGCUGCCCUCCGAAGGCAGAGGUCACAAGUUCGAAUCUUGUCGGGCGCGCCA
RNAcentral lists this transfer RNA (77 nucleotides) under Alphaproteobacteria bacterium 13_2_20CM_2_64_7. Its description in RNAcentral is "tRNA-Arg". It matches the Rfam family "tRNA". Rfam says of the family: Transfer RNA (tRNA) molecules are approximately 80 nucleotides in length. Lineage: Bacteria; Pseudomonadati; Pseudomonadota; Alphaproteobacteria. RNAcentral also lists the same sequence under 8 other names. The record is from RNAcentral.